GACGAACGCUGGCGGCGUGCUUAACACAUGCAAGUCGAACGGAAAGGCCCUGCUUUUGUGGGGUGCUCGAGUGGCGAACGGGUGAGUAACACGUGAGUAACCUGCCCUUGACUUUGGGAUAACUUCAGGAAACUGGGGCUAAUACCGGAUAGGAGCUCCUGCUGCAUGGUGGGGGUUGGAAAGUUUCGGCGGUUGGGGAUGGACUCGCGGCUUAUCAGCUUGUUGGUGGGGUAGUGGCUUACCAAGGCUUUGACGGGUAGCCGGCCUGAGAGGGUGACCGGCCACAUUGGGACUGAGAUACGGCCCAGACUCCUACGGGAGGCAGCAGUGGGGAAUAUUGCACAAUGGGCGGAAGCCUGAUGCAGCAACGCCGCGUGCGGGAUGACGGCCUUCGGGUUGUAAACCGCUUUCGCCUGUGACGAAGCGUGAGUGACGGUAAUGGGUAAAGAAGCACCGGCUAACUACGUGCCAGCAGCCGCGGUGAUACGUAGGGUGCGAGCGUUGUCCGGAUUUAUUGGGCGUAAAGGGCUCGUAGGUGGUUGAUCGCGUCGGAAGUGUAAUCUUGGGGCUUAACCCUGAGCGUGCUUUCGAUACGGGUUGACUUGAGGAAGGUAGGGGAGAAUGGAAUUCCUGGUGGAGCGGUGGAAUGCGCAGAUAUCAGGAGGAACACCAGUGGCGAAGGCGGUUCUCUGGGCCUUUCCUGACGCUGAGGAGCGAAAGCGUGGGGAGCGAACAGGCUUAGAUACCCUGGUAGUCCACGCUGUAAACGGUGGGUACUAGGUGUGGGGUCCAUUCCACGGGUUCCGUGCCGUAGCUAACGCUUUAAGUACCCCGCCUGGGGAGUACGGCCGCAAGGCUAAAACUCAAAGGAAUCGACGGGGCCCCGCACAAGCGGCGGAGCAUGCGGAUUAAUUCGAUGCAACGCGUAGAACCUUACCUGGGUUUGACAUGGAUCGGGAGCGCUCAGAGAUGGGUGUGCCUCUUUUGGGGUCGGUUCACAGGUGGUGCAUGGCUGUCGUCAGCUCGUGUCGUGAGAUGUUGGGUUAAGUCCCGCAACGAGCGCAACCCUUGUUCACUGUUGCCAGCACGUUAUGGUGGGGACUCAGUGGAGACCGCCGGGGUCAACUCGGAGAAAGGUGGGGAUGACGUCAAGUCAUCAUGCCCCUUAUGUCCAGGGCUUCACGCAUGCUACAAUGGCUGGUACAGAGAGUGGCGAGCCUGUGAGGGUGAGCGAAUCUCGGAAAGCCGGUCUCAGUUCGGAUUGGGGUCUGCAACUCGACCUCAUGAAGUCGGAGUCGCUAGUAAUCGCAGAUCAGCAACGCUGCGGUGAAUACGUUCCCGGGGCU
Molecule: ribosomal RNA, 1346 nt
Filed under: uncultured bacterium
Lineage: Bacteria
Description: bacterial SSU rRNA
Rfam family: Bacterial small subunit ribosomal RNA
Source: RNAcentral